GGGCGGAGAAGCAGCGGUGUGCGACCUGGGGCUUGGGAACCCAGUGAUGGAUCAGGACUCGACAGUGGUGCGGCGGAGAGCGUCGCUGCUGCGGUGGCUGCUGCUGUUAUUGCCACUGUGGUCGAGGCUGGCCUUGGGCGCGCUUCCUUUCGGCAGCAGUCCGCGCAGGAUCUUGCUCGACCUCCUGUCCGAGCAGCAACUGCUGGAGGUGGAGGACUUGACCAUAUCCCUGCUAAGGGGCGGAGGUUUGGGGCCACUGACGUUACCCCCGGAUCUGCCGAAUCUGGAUCCCGAGUGCCAGGAGCUGCUGCUGGACUUCGCCAACAGCAGCGCAGAACUGACCGGGUGUCUAGUGCGCAGCGCCCGGCCCGUGCGCAUCUGCCAGACCUGCCACCUGCUCUUCCAACAGGUCGUGAGCAAGAUGGACAACAUCAGCCGAUCCGUGGGGAAUACUUCAGAGAGUCAGAGUUGUGUCAGAAGUCUUUUAAUGGCAGAUAGAAUGCAAAUAGUUGUGAUUCUCUCUGAGUUUUUUAAUACCACAUGGAAGGAGGCAAAUUGUGCAAAUUGUUUAACAGACAACGGUGAAGAAUUAUCAAACAGCACAAUAUAUUUCCUCAAUCUAUUUAACCUCACCUUGACCUGCUUUGAGCAUAACCUUCAGGAGAGUGCACAUGGUCUUCUACCACCAAAAAAUUACUCAGAAGUGUGUAAAAACUGUCGUGAAGCAUACAAAACUCUGAGCAGUCUGUACAGUGAAAUGCAAAAAAUGAAUGAGCUUGAUAAUAAGGCUGAACUUCCUGAAACACAUUUAUGUAUCGAUGUGGAAGAUGCAAUGAAUAUUACUCGAAAACUUUGGAGUCGAACUUUCAACUGCUCAAUCUCUUGCAGUGACACAGUGCCUGUUAUUGCUGUUUCUGUGUUCAUCCUCUUUCUACCUGUUGUUUUCUACCUUAGUAGCUUUCUUCACUCGGAGCAAAAGAAACGCAAACUCAUUCUGCCCAAACGUCUCAAGUCCAGUACCAGUAGUGCAAACAUUCAAGAAAAUUCAAACUGAAACCAACAAGAUGAAGACUUGACAUCUUAUCACACGAAUGAUAAAACUUAUCUUGGUGGAAGAUAAAACUUGAUUGAAAAGAAGAAGAACUGUCAGUGUUUACCACAUACGCAGAGUGAAGAGAAGGCUAAUCCUGGGAUAUCUGACGUAUCCAAAAGCUGUUACCAUUUUUCGUGGUCUACUGUGAUCUAUUUAAACUAUGCUGCAGUUCAUUCUGCUGUUACUAUUCCCACUGCUGGUACAAAUAAAGCUGUCUUGAUUUGAAGCAUGUGUUUGAGGGCCAUUGAAAGCAAUCUUCAUUAAUGCAGAUGAAACCAGUUUACUAUGUUCAAAGUUAGAAAGAUGACAUAUUUGAGUAUAUACAUAGUGACUUUGUGAGCACCUUUCAAUAUUAUAUGUUGGAAAAACCAUUGCUUUGGGAUAUAAAGCUAAUAAGCACUUUAAAAAAGAAAAGACAGCCUUUAAUAUUUUUAUGGUGGGGUCAUUGCUCUUUAGAAAUUGCAUCAGCCUUAGUAGAUUUUAAAAAAUAAAAAUUAAGUGCUACACUAAAGGGGGUAUUUCAUUCUGUAGUGAUGGAAAAAUUCUGAAUUGAGACAUACAGCUUAUGUAUAAACACAAGAACAUCUUUAAGUUUUUGACACUUUAAAAUAAAGUAAUUUAAGGAAAUUACAAUGCUGUAAUUGGAUUUUAAAUACAUUUUUGGAAACUUCAGUUGUAAUUUAACAUCAUAUCUAAGUUUUUCAUGUAUUGAGUUUAAGUGCCCAUCUGUCUUAUAACUUUACUGCAAAUAAAAAUGUGCUUUUGGAUUAUUA
Molecule: RNA transcript, 1866 nt
Organism: Marmota flaviventris (yellow-bellied marmot)
Lineage: Eukaryota; Metazoa; Chordata; Mammalia; Rodentia; Sciuridae
Gene: Ostm1
Gene name: osteoclastogenesis associated transmembrane protein 1
Source: RefSeq, a predicted model, not a curated record